ACCUAGGGGGGCAGCAGUGGGGAAUAUUGGGCAAUGGGCGCAAGCCUGACCCAGCAACGCCGCGUGAAGGAAGAAGGCUUUCGGGUUGUAAACUUCUUUUAUCAGGGACGAAGCAAGUGACGGUACCUGAUGAAUAAGCCACGGCUAACUACGUGCCAGCAGCCGCGGUAAUACGUAGGUGGCAAGCGUUAUCCGGAUUUACUGGGUGUAAAGGGCGUGUAGGCGGGAGGGCAAGUCAGAUGUGAAAACUAUGGGCUCAACCCAUAGCCUGCAUUUGAAACUGUACUUCUUGAGUGCUGGAGAGG
RNAcentral lists this ribosomal RNA (305 nucleotides) under uncultured bacterium. RNAcentral's name for it is "bacterial SSU rRNA". It matches the Rfam family "Bacterial small subunit ribosomal RNA", at positions 337 to 657 of the family's 1533-position model. The record is from RNAcentral.